This 201-nucleotide non-coding RNA is filed under the name Candidatus Pullichristensenella avicola. RNAcentral describes it as "raiA RNA". It matches the Rfam family "raiA RNA". The record is from RNAcentral. Lineage: Bacteria; Bacillati; Bacillota; Clostridia.
CCCGCGUCCGUGGUUGCAAGUCGAUGCCAGUCGCAGGCGAAACGACCCACAUAAGCGGGAAAAAUUCCCGUGAGCAUGGUGCGGCUUAGAAGUAAGUCCGGCCAGCCUUCGGGCUGAGAGGGCCAGUAGUGGGGAGGCCAUUGCCUUAGGAGCGAGCGCCCCAGCCGGCGGGUGUGGGGGCAAAGACCAGGUCGGGCGGGC